This is a long non-coding RNA of Drosophila biarmipes, 2130 nucleotides long. RefSeq lists it as uncharacterized. The transcript has 3 exons. The record is from RefSeq and is a predicted model, not a curated record. Lineage: Eukaryota; Metazoa; Arthropoda; Insecta; Diptera; Drosophilidae.
UUAGAAUUAAGAAAUAGUUCAAAGAUUUAGAUGAGUGCUAUCAAACAGUUGUGUGGUUUUACAAAAAUACAAAGGAAAAAGAACGCGAUAAAACAAUUCAGCAAAGAAAAUAAGAGCCGGUGACUUCAGUUGGGAGGCUGUGCCAAAGAGAACGGUGCGAGAGAGCGCCGAAACAGCAGAAAAUAAGAAACAGCAACAUAAAACAAUGCACCCGCGUAUUAUCCAAUACAUAAAUUAUAUAUUAAGAUAAUGGAUUUAACACAAAUUAAUAAUUUGCAUUCAAGCGGCGGGCUCAACCGAGUGAACUUUGGGAAUAUAUAAAAUCAGUAGUUUAAACACUGGCGAAUAAAUAUGGAAGCGAAAAUAAAACACGUCCUUGUACAACGGAGAGCGAUGUGUGAAGACAUGAUUUUUUCAAAGCACUGUUAUUAUUAUUAUAUGGUGGCGAGCCUCAUACACAACUGUUUAAUUUUCUAGGCGUCCGCCAACUUGAAACAGGAACGAAGCAAUUAAUCUUGAUUUGACCAAGCGGCGCGGAUCGUCAUAAUCCAGACGCGUAGAACGAUCCUUUCGUUCACCAAGUAAGAAUGGUGGGCCAUAAAACUGGAUUUCAGGAAGCGGCAUUUGAUCCAAAGUAGUGCCCCUGGACAAGACGUUGGUAGGAUUCUCUGCAGUCGGAACGUGAUGAUAUUCCAUAUAACAGGUGUAACGGGCCAAGGCCAAACUUUCAUCCCAAUCGAAUUUAUCUUUGCACAGUUGUUGAAGAAACACCUUGGCCAUUUUCUGACACAUCUUUAAAACCUCGGAGUGGCUGGAGCACCCAUUCGUAAUUUGACUAUUCGUAAUCGUUGGCACAACAGGCCCUGUCAAAAAAACGUGACUGAAGGCAGAUGUUGACUGUAGAUCCUUCUAAAGAAACAGCUGUAUCACCAAGGCCAGAUACAAUUGCUGCUGACCGAUAUUUCUUUGACUGCAAUUACUGGGAGACGAGAGAUCUAAUUAGGUGUAGUUGAGAGCCAGGGAACCGGCUCUGUUUUUUUACAAGAGCUAUAGCGAUGGCCAAGAGCACAACAUCAGAAUGAAAUCUCUCUUCGCAAGAGGGGCAGAUGGCUGCGAAGAUGCGGGCAAACAUGAAGCAUUUAUUUGAUGAACAGGAACUUGCAACGGCGAAUCAUUAGGGCGUAGAUGGAGGAGCGUGUGGUGUUUUCCACCGCAUAUGCGGCAGUGGCCAGAGUUGCAAGUUCGAGUGUGGUGCCUUUUAGUUUGGAAAGUUUUUUUUACUUCCUUUCGCUGUAACUUGAAGACAGAGGAGUAUUAUCCAUGACCAGGAGUAUCACAAAAGACGCGGCUACUCUGGCUGACCUGGGCACCAAGUAACGUCCGUGUGGCAGACCUUGGGGCUGCAUGGUCAUGGGCCUUGUAAGACGCUAAGGCGUGCUGAACGAUCUCCAGUUUAUGGCAUCGCCCUUCAAGGAACUUUGGAAAAUCCUCCUUGUUGGAAAUCCUAUCAAUAGAUAAGCUUUACUCUCAGUUACCUUGAGUUGCUGCAUACAAAUUUUGCACAAUCAUGUAUGCAAACAUGCAGCCUGAGAUUUGUUUUAAAUCUCCCAAGGCCUGAAGCUUUUGCGCAUGCCCAAUAAUUUUGUCUGAAAAGUCCCGCAAUCCCACAGCAGGCACAGACUCGAUCGCUUAUUCAGGAUGUCCAGUGCCACACGAUAGUUGACACCAGAUAUUUCUAAUGAGUAAACCGACUACAACGCAGCUCCAGCUAAGCAUGACCGCAAAUGUUAAAGUUUUUCUAUAUCAGCGAAGUAGGGGUGCUUAUCUAUAACCGAGAGGAAGUCAGAGUAUUCGGUGUAUUCACUGGUGAAUGUAGGCGAUUCCUAUGAACUCGAUCAACCAUGUAAGUUAAAUGAUCCAGUGAAAAAUGUUUGUAUUCGAAGCUGGCAGUUGUUACGAUAACCGCACUCUAUACUCUAAAACGCACUGUACAUCACUAAACCUUACCGUUACAAUUGUCAUAAGCCUAUUAUUUUUUUUAAAGUGUACAGUGACCGGUUGGCGAAGCUCACUGAGUUAACAAAUUAUGAUAUCAAAUAAAAUAAACUCCGCACUAUAUGUAUAUAAGCC